UGCCUUUGUAAUCUCUGUUCACAAUGGAAAAUUACAUUCCCUUGGAAAAGCUAAUUACUAUUUCUUACAAUUUCCCUGUAGCUUCUAAGACUUAUAUCGAACCCUAACAAAGGAUGGAAUUGCCAUAGCAACUGCCAAUCUGCUUGGUUUUUAUUGCUGUUUUUGUUUUCUCACUCAGAAACCCACGCGAUAGACCAGUUUCAUCAAAUGGCCAGCCAUGAGAGACUGAAGGCCAUGCUUUUAGAGAAAGACAAUGCUUCUCUAUCUGUGGAAGAUAUUGGAAAUAAAGAAAAUAAUGAAUGCAGAUGAUGACUACAGCCCGACUGCACUUUGAAACUUUAAGCAGGAAGAGAGAUCCAAUAUCCCGUGAUAUGCAGUGGUGUCUCCGGCAAACGCGCCUGCCUCUGAAGACUGUGGUGCCGGCUCACAAUUCCCAGGAAGCCAACUGUCUUGCACCUUGUUCUCACUGAACGUGCGUUGCUAUUCUGGACUGGCACUACUGAAUUAAGUUUGUCCCUUGUGUUUUCCAUGGAGUCUUUAAUGAAUGUGAGCUGCCUAGAAGCAAAGCCUUUGGGAACACAAAGCAAAUGAAGGAACAAACUUUUAAUCAAAGAAUCUAAGUAUGCUCAGAGCUUGAUUGUGUGAAGGACGGGGGGAGCUGAGGGUUCUCAGCAUCCCACAGGAAUAAGUAAAUAAGGUGGAAGGUGAAAAGCUUGCAGCCAGAAAGUCAAAAUGACCUGUUCUUGAAAAUCAGGCUUUAUAAUUCAUACCAUAUAGUGAAUGAUUCACUAAUAAAGACUAAUUUGCAAGAAGAAAUAAAGUACA
This is a long non-coding RNA of Anser brachyrhynchus (Pink-footed goose), 825 nucleotides long. The record is from Ensembl. Lineage: Eukaryota; Metazoa; Chordata; Aves; Anseriformes; Anatidae.